RNAcentral lists this ribosomal RNA (443 nucleotides) under uncultured bacterium. RNAcentral describes it as "partial 16S ribosomal RNA". It matches the Rfam family "Bacterial small subunit ribosomal RNA", at positions 338 to 795 of the family's 1533-position model. The record is from RNAcentral.
CCUACGGGAGACAGCAGUGGGGAAUAUUGGGCAAUGGGCGCAAGCCUGACCCAGCAACGCCGCGUGAAGGAAGAAGGCUUUCGGGUUGUAAACUUCUUUUGUCAGGGACGAAGCAAGUGACGGUACCUGACGAAUAAGCCACGGCUAACUACGUGCCAGCAGCCGCGGUAAUACGUAGGUGGCAAGCGUUAUCCGGAUUUACUGGGUGUAAAGGGCGUGUAGGCGGGGAUGCAAGUCAAAUGUGAAACGCACGGGCUCAACCUGUGGCUGGAAUUUGAAACUGUUUUUCUUGAGUGCUGGGGAGGCAAUCGGAAUUCCGUGUGUAGCGGUGAAAUGCGUAGAUAUACGGAGGAACACCAGUGGCGAAGGCGGAUUGCUGGACAGUAACUGACGCUGAGGCGCGAAAGUGUGGGGAGCAAACAGGAUUAGAUACCCUGGUAGUC